Long non-coding RNA from Hibiscus syriacus, 140 nucleotides. RefSeq lists it as uncharacterized. The record is from RefSeq and is a predicted model, not a curated record. The transcript is spliced from 3 exons. Lineage: Eukaryota; Viridiplantae; Streptophyta; Magnoliopsida; Malvales; Malvaceae.
UCUACUUUCCCCAUUUCUAGACCCGUCUCCUCCUUCACCUCUCUGGCUCCUCACUCUUCGAAGCUCUCCCCUGCACCACUUAAUUAGCUAAUUAAUGCAAGAGAAACAAAAGUAAUUGAUUUAACUACUAUUCAAGUCAC